GCUCCCAUGGCGUAGUGGUCACUGCGCUCGCCUUGCACGCGGGAGACCCGGGUUCGAUUUCCGGCGGGUAUG
RNAcentral lists this transfer RNA (72 nucleotides) under Diaphorina citri (Asian citrus psyllid). It matches the Rfam family "tRNA". From Rfam's summary of the family: Transfer RNA (tRNA) molecules are approximately 80 nucleotides in length. Lineage: Eukaryota; Metazoa; Arthropoda; Insecta; Hemiptera; Psyllidae. The record is from Rfam by way of RNAcentral.